GACGAACGCUGGCGGCGUGCUUAACACAUGCAAGUCGAACGGAAAGGCCCCUUCGGGGGUACUCGAGUGGCGAACGGGUGAGUAACACGUGAGUAACCUGCCCUUGACUUCGGGAUAACUUCAGGAAACUGGGGCUAAUACCGGAUAGGAAUCCUUGCUGCAUGGUGGGGGUUGGAAAGCUUCGGCGGUUUUGGAUGGACUCGCGGCUUAUCAGCUUGUUGGUGGGGUAGUGGCUUACCAAGGCUUUGACGGGUAGCCGGCCUGAGAGGGCGACCGGCCACAGUGGGACUGAGAUACGGCCCAGACUCCUACGGGAGGCAGCAGUGGGGAAUAUUGCACAAUGGGCGGAAGCCUGAUGCAGCAACGCCGCGUGCGGGAUGACGGCCUUCGGGUUGGAAACCGCUUUCAGCAGGGGCGAAGCUUGUGGUGACGGUACCUGCAGAAGAAGCACCGGCUAACUACGUG
RNAcentral lists this ribosomal RNA (465 nucleotides) under uncultured bacterium. RNAcentral describes it as "partial 16S ribosomal RNA". It matches the Rfam family "Bacterial small subunit ribosomal RNA", at positions 28 to 507 of the family's 1533-position model. The record is from RNAcentral.